This is a long non-coding RNA of Vigna unguiculata (cowpea), 647 nucleotides long. NCBI's taxonomy places the organism in Eukaryota, Viridiplantae, Streptophyta, Magnoliopsida, Fabales, Fabaceae. The record is from RefSeq and is a predicted model, not a curated record.
UUUUCUUUUUCUUUCUCAUUUCUCAUUCACCCACACCAUAGCACAGCACACCACCAGAGAGAGAGAGACAUUCUUCUUCUCUUCGUCGUGAGCUUCAAACACCACCACACCAUACCAAACUUCAUCACCUUCCGUUCGUGAAACACCACUGCAUUGUUAUUCUUGUUCUCUUGUCUUCUCUUUGUCAACGUUGGAUGUCGCUGGUGUUGUCUUCAUCAAUGUCACCGAUUAAGAUCUCUUUGUCAACGUCGCUGCUAUUCAGUAACUCCUCCACCAUGGCUCACGUAGUAGAGAGAGAGAUGAUGAAAUUGCUCAGACGGAUGGAAGAUUGGAGAGGACAACAAGCAUGGUUGCUUCAAACAUUCUUGACAUAGGACAACAUGAUGAAUGCCUUGAUUGUUGGUGGUUGUCAAUUGGUUGAAUUAAUGUUGUAAAUUUGAACUUUAUUUUUUUUCCUUUGGACUUCUUCAUGUGCUUUGAUGUUUUAACUCUGAACAUUAUCUUUUAUUUGGUCAUGGAACUGGUAUUCUGAGAAAUUGUUGGACUUUGAACUGCUUUAGAAGUAGAACUAUUGUUUUGAGACAUUAUUGGACUUUUAGAACUUUUGUAGAACUAUUGUUUUGAGAAAUUAUUGGACUUUGAAUCGA